CUCUCUACUACUCUCCCUGAAACUCUCUACUGCUCAAUCUUCUGAAACGUAACUCCCCAUCCUUCAAACGCUAACUCGAUUUCAGAAAUAUUCUCUCUUUCUCUUCUAAGUUCUUAGUAAAACAGCUCUUAUCUUCUCUAAUUGAAAUCGAAGACCUAAAGGAGAGAAAUUAGGGCUUUUCAAUUUCUGUCUGGUUUAUAAGGAUUUAAAGAAAAAGGAGGAGCUGCAGGCUAAGGAGGCCGAACUGAAUAAAAGUGAACGGAUUGCAAGGAUAAAACAAAAGAAAAAGGAUACAAGGAUCAAUUGCCCUGGAACAUUAAGCUUUCCACAGAUGAUUCUGGAAAACACAAAGGAGAUGGAGUUCUGUCAUAUGAAGAUCCAUCUGAUGCACAAGCAGCUGGAGGGUUUUACAACAAUUAAGAUUUGCGGGGAUAUGAAAUCAGUGAUACAAUGGUAGCUAGAUCUGCACCUAGAGUUGCACUUGCUUUUGGACAGGGGAAACAAAUAGGAAUAUGCACCAUGUACUUGGAUCGUCCAAUUAGUCCUGGUUGCUAGCAAAGGAUUGAGUGUUCAUUGAUAUCCCCAAAAUUUAUUUAGAAACCCUGUUUUCAGGUUCAUUGCUUCCAUGCAUUGCGAAUGAGUGAGCUUCCAUUUGUGCCUUCUGCAGUUUCUUCAAGCAAGGACUUUCUUCAUCGUGGUAGAUUGAAGUCGUUUCAAUGAUGAAUAAAAGAUUAGGUUCUUUGGCCAAGGGACUCCUGAGUACCAGGAUGCAUUUAUGAAUUUCAUAGGUAUAGACCAUAUGAUCAAUGGGAAACUUGGAAAUCCUGAAAUCAUCAGUUGUCCUUGUAUUGACUGUGAGAAUCUUGUUGUGCGAAUUCCUGGGAACAAAGUGUUUUGUCACUUGCAACGGAUGGAUCCUACUUGCAUCUAAUGGAUAUUUCAUGGGGAGCCGGCUAGCUGCUAGCACUUCUAAUUAUGUUCACCAAGAGAGAGCAACACCUAAUUAUCUUCACGAAGAGAGAGCAGCACCUAGUGUAUAUCAGGUGGAUAUUUCAUGUUGAAGAUCAGGUUCAUGAUGGGGAGUUGGCCAAGCUGGUGGAAGACAUUGACACCCGGUUAUUCCCAGAUUGUAUAGUGCAUGCAGUUGACUAUCACUAUUGAAUUAUAUAAGCACCAGACCGUAAGUGGUUCAUUAUGAAAAGCUUUUGAUGAACUUCUUUCUAAGGCAAAUUGUUGGAUGUUAACUUUCUUUUAGGUCUGACAUUUGUUAAUUUGAAGUCAUGUUAUUUAUAACCUUGGACAAUAUGUGUCACAAUCUUAACGGUGAAGAGGGGAAUAAUUCUAGCAUUGGUAUUGGUAGUGGGUGAAGAUGUGAGUGAUCAAAAGUUGGGAUUAAUUGUCCUAUAUUUGGACUAUAUUUGGACUAUGUUAGUUGUCCACGUAAUAGACUUUUCCAUUUAUAACACCCUUUUUACUUCUGUAUGAACUCAUUGUUAGGUACUUUAUUAUAUUAUUCAAGUUAGCACUUA
Molecule: long non-coding RNA, 1529 nt
Organism: Papaver somniferum (opium poppy)
Lineage: Eukaryota; Viridiplantae; Streptophyta; Magnoliopsida; Ranunculales; Papaveraceae
Exons: 8
Source: RefSeq, a predicted model, not a curated record